RNAcentral lists this ribosomal RNA (298 nucleotides) under Cryptosporidium hominis. Its description in RNAcentral is "partial 18S ribosomal RNA". It matches the Rfam family "Eukaryotic small subunit ribosomal RNA", at positions 466 to 784 of the family's 1831-position model. Lineage: Eukaryota; Apicomplexa; Conoidasida; Eucoccidiorida; Cryptosporidiidae. The record is from RNAcentral.
AGUGACAAGAAAUAACAAUACAGGACUUUUUGGUUUUGUAAUUGGAAUGAGUUAAGUAUAAACCCCUUUACAAGUAUCAAUUGGAGGGCAAGUCUGGUGCCAGCAGCCGCGGUAAUUCCAGCUCCAAUAGCGUAUAUUAAAGUUGUUGCAGUUAAAAAGCUCGUAGUUGGAUUUCUGUUAACAAUUUAUAUAAAAUAUUUUGAUGAAUAUUUAUAUAAUAUUAACAUAAUUCAUAUUACUAUUUUUUUUUUUAGUAUAUGAAAUUUUACUUUGAGAAAAUUAGAGUGCUUAAAGCAGG